This 909-nucleotide ribosomal RNA is filed under the name Thyronectria sinopica. RNAcentral's name for it is "eukaryotic LSU rRNA". It matches the Rfam family "Eukaryotic large subunit ribosomal RNA", at positions 1 to 940 of the family's 3401-position model. The record is from RNAcentral. Lineage: Eukaryota; Fungi; Ascomycota; Sordariomycetes; Hypocreales; Nectriaceae.
GGUUGACCUCGGAUCAGGUAGGAAUACCCGCUGAACUUAAGCAUAUCAAUAAGCGGAGGAAAAGAAACCAACAGGGAUUGCCCUAGUAACGGCGAGUGAAGCGGCAACAGCUCAAAUUUGAAAUCUGGCCCUUGUGGUCCGAGUUGUAAUUUGUAGAGGAUGCUUUUGGUGCGGUACCUUCCGAGUUCCCUGGAACGGGACGCCAUAGAGGGUGAGAGCCCCGUCUGGUUGGAUACCAAUCCUCUGUAAAGCUCCUUCGACGAGUCGAGUAGUUUGGGAAUGCUGCUCAAAAUGGGAGGUAUAUGUCUUCUAAAGCUAAAUAUUGGCCAGAGACCGAUAGCGCACAAGUAGAGUGAUCGAAAGAUGAAAAGCACUUUGAAAAGAGGGUUAAAUAGUACGUGAAAUUGUUGAAAGGGAAGCGUUUGUGACCAGACUUGGGCUUGGUUAAUCAUCCAGCGUUCUCGCUGGUGCACUUUGCCAGCCCAGGCCAGCAUCAGUUUGCUGCGGGGGAUAAAAGUUUCGGGAAUGUGGCUCCUCGGAGUGUUAUAGCCCGUUGCACAAUACCCUGUGGUGGACUGAGGUUCGCGCAUCUGCAAGGAUGCUGGCGUAAUGGUCAUCAACGACCCGUCUUGAAACACGGACCAAGGAGUCGUCUUCGUAUGCGAGUGUUCGGGUGUCAAACCCCUACGCGUAAUGAAAGUGAACGGAGGUGGGAGCCUCGGCGCACCAUCGACCGAUCCUGAUGUUUUCGGAUGGAUUUGAGUAAGAGCAUACGGGGCCGGACCCGAAAGAAGGUGAACUAUGCCUGUAUAGGGUGAAGCCAGAGGAAACUCUGGUGGAGGCUCGCAGCGGUUCUGACGUGCAAAUCGAUCGUCAAAUAUGGGCAUGGGGGCGAAAGACUAAUCGAAC